AGUUGUUUCCAGACAAAGAGCUUCAGAGCAAUUGACUCAAACUCUGCUGGGUGGUGGACCUCAGGAAAAUGAAUGUAUCUUUCUUAAUACAACAGGCCUGCUGAUCUCAGUGGGUACGUCCAAGAAUGUUUACAGAUAACUUGACUAUGCAGCGGUAGAGGACACAUGCCUUUUAAAUGAAAAUGGCUUGUGGUAUGAAGUCCCAGGGCAGACCUGAAUAAUCAAGUAAGGAAGACAUCAUGAUAGAGGUUGAGUAAGCCUCGAAGGAGUGAUCAGAAUUCAAUAGUGAGAGAAAAGAAGCGCUGUCAUUACAAUGAGUGGACGUAUCUUCAAGUGAGAGGAAAUGGCAAACAUUGUCUAGAUCAGAGAAUUCAGACACAUUCAUCUUUGUUAAUGAGUUAACUAUUUUACAAUUUACAGUUAAACAUUGGCCUUCACUGUCAGCUACAUUUGGGAACUACAUGAAAUCAGAUAUUGAUCCAUCACAGAGAUUUUUAAGAAGCCAAUGCAAAUUGGGAAGAAUCCUAGCGAUUAUCAACUCCAACAUCUGACAUUUUCAGGCCGUGACUACUAAAAGCAAUCAGGUGGAGCCCCGAGUUACUCAGAGAGCUACUCUUAUUCCCCACACGUCUGUCAUCCACGGGGCGAGGACCGGAGGAGCUGGGACAGGGCCCAGAAUUCCAUUACCCGCUUCAGCUUGCUUAGCACUUGUUUGAUACUAAAUGCUCUGAACUCGUUCCUGAUGAACAAUGGUGCACAGUACAAACCAAACUAAUUGGCAGAGAAAGAACUACCUCCGUGACACGGAAAAGAGUGAGCAGAAGAUUCCAUCCCAGAAUCCCACUCCAUCUGCACUGGAUGGUAAAACAGCCACAGCCCAUCACCUCCACCAUCAUGGAUUUGAGGGCGUAACAGGUAGUCAUGCACCUGUCAUUUCCUGUGCAUUCACUUCUGUUGGCUUCUGUUACUAAAACACUUAACAGUCACAGAAAAUGCUACUCCCUGUUUAAAGCGGGGUGCUUUAUGGUGGAGAUUUGUAAAGCAGCCCAUGAAUGACUGUAACAGCACAGAGUUAGUUGCUGAGAGAAAAUCUGUCAAAAAGGUCCACGUGGAAAUGGAGAGGUUCUGACAGUGGCGGCAAUCACCCCAUGCUGCGCUCUGCUUUCCCCUGCCCUGCUCCCCCAGCUGAGAUCAGGCCCCAUUGCCUGAAAGUUCUUGCUUCUUCUGUUUUUUUUUUUUCUAUGAUUUGUUCCUUCAAGUAAUUUGUAUCAAGAACUAGUAUGUGCCAAGCACUAUUAGAAACAUAAUGAUAAAAUAAAUAUUUUCUUCCUUCAAGUAGCUCAUAUAGUAAAGGAAAGAGGCCAGGGAGCAAAAUAUUAAAGUUUAGUGUCAUGUGAUAAAUACUGUACACAGUGUCAUGGAAGCCGUUAGCUUAGAGGGACGGAGUAAGGAAGAAAGGAUGUGGGAAACCUUUCCAGGGGAUGCCCAUUGAUGCAGCCACUAUGGACAACAACAUGGAGUUUCCUCAAAUAAUCAAAAAUAGGACUAUCGUGUGAUCCAGCUACUCCACUCCAGGUGUAUCUCUGAAAGAAAUGAAAUUACUGCCUCGGAGAGACACCUGCACCCCAUGCUCACUGGCUGUUCACAACAGCCAAGUCACGGGAACAACCCAAGUGUCCACCUAUGGAUGGAUGGAUAACGAAAAUGCGGAUGGAUAGUUAAAGAAAUACAUCCAUGAUAAACAAAAAUGGAUAAAGUUCAGCCAUAAAAAAGGGAAAAAAAUAAAAGAAGGAAACCUUGUCCUUUGUAACAACAUGGACAAACCAUGAGGGCAUUAUGUUAAGCAAAAUAAGUCAGACAGGGAGAAAUGACAAACACUCUAUGAUCUUACUUUUAUGGGGAAUCCAUUAAAGCCAAACUCACAGAAACAGAAAGUAGAUUGGUGGUUCCCAGGGGCUGGUGGGUAAGGGAACUGGGGAGAUGUCGGUUAAAGGGUCCAAACUUCCAGUUAUAAGCUGAGUGACUUUCGGGGAGCCAGUGCACAGCCUGGUGACUGGAGUUAGCAGCACUACAUUGCAUUGCAUUGCAAGUUCCUGUGAGAGUAAAUCUUAAAAGAUCUCAUCACACACACACAAACUAAGUAUGUGAGCUGAUACAUGUGUUAACUAACCUUAUGGUGGUAAUCACCUUGCAAUAUAUGUGUGUAUCAAGUCAUCACGUUACACACCUUAAAUUGACACAGUGUUAUAUGCCAAUUAUAUUUCAAAAACAGUUGGGGGAAAAGGAAAGGAAAAACCUUUCCAAAGGAAGUCAUCCUUGAGCUAUCCUGCAAGGGAAGAAAAAAACCACUUUUAUGGGCAGAAGAAGAGAGAAAGUUCCAGAAAAUAAGAUGCAACAGAGUAUAGGCAGAACGUAGCUGGACAGAGUAUCAGCAGAAAAUGUUGUUACAUUUAAUAUUAGAUGUAGAGACAUUAUCAAAUUUUCACUUUAGAAAGAUCAUGCUUUGUCAAUUAAAAGCAAAACAAACAGGAACAAUAUUUAGUUAUCCAGUGUCAACACACUCAAAGCCUUCUGGGAAGUAGAUUCCAGUUCCAUGCACAGGUCUUCUGGGGGGAGCAUGGCGUCUCUGUGAGCAUUGGUUACAGAGGCCACGGAGGAUCUCUUCAUGGACUUGCUAUCCCAGAAAAUAUGCACGAGCCUAGAGAUGCUUAGGACUGAGAGACGUGUUAGCAAAAUCAUCCACAUUAACUUUUGAUAUUGGCCCCUGGAGUUAUUUCCUGUUUUGUUUUGUUUUGUUUUUUGUCAUCAAAACGAUGGUAAACAACGCACUCACAUUUAAGUUCUGUGCCAUGGGCACUGAUUCCUUAUUCUCUGAGUGCUUAUAGUCAAUUCAGCAGAGGUGACGCCAUCUGACGAGAACCGUUGCCAUCCUGUCACUAUGGAUCCUGACCACAGGCUUUUCCAGCAGGGACCUUCCCCUUUAAGGCACGCCCGGACGGCACUGCAGACGACUGGGGGCACAGCUCAAGGUCACCUAACAUGACGCCUAAAUAACUCAACACGAGUGAAGGGGCAGGAAAUGUGGCAGAAAUGGCUAUAUUUAAGCUGUUGUAAUCUACCCCGCCUAUUUAAUCCACUCCAAUCCUUGAUGAAUUCCACAAGCUGACAGAACAGAGCAUCAAAAGUAAGUCUGGUGAUUCUCCUGAGUGACUGACAGCUGUGGCUGCACAUGGCCCGUAUACAUGAUCUGGGCAUCUGCUUUCCUGAAGUAAUGACUAGCUCUGCGGCAUUGCCAGAAAUCUCUGCCAGCAGGUAUGCGACGUGCAAUUCUGCAUCAGCGCCUAAGACACUGCGACGAGUGUCCGCAGUCCUGGCUGGCUGAAAGGUCGCAGUGGUUUACUGAGGUCUCUAAGGCCGUGAUGGGCACAGAACCUCUGCUUUGAACACUGGUUUCAGAAUAUAUAAGUAGAAAAUUCACACACAAAGGAAUGAAAUGAUAAAUAAACACAUAAAGGUCCCUUCUCACUAGCAAUUAAAAGAAUGUAUAUUAGAACCAAGUGUAUAGCCUAACUGAGCCGGUACUAAGUAGACUGUAUUUGUCUCUCUAUAAGGCGGAUGUUUUUGUAUGCUUUUCAUUCACUGAUGUAUCCCAAACUCCUGGAAGACUGCCUGGCACAAAUUUUUGGUGAAUGACUGCAUGAAUGGCCAUACUCGUAUUUACCACCCUGUGGUAAUGCCAGAACAUUCGCACACUGCUUGAAGCAUUGUAAAUUGAAGCGAUUAUUUUAGAAAUGGAUCAGGACAAAGUAAAAUUAUCUUCAUUAUGAUCUAGCGAACUCUGUCCCCUGGAAAUCUGUUUUACAGAAGCACAAGACCUUUAUGAAGCUGUUAAUCCUAGAAGCACUCAUUAGAGCAAAAUCUUGUUAGAAAGUUACAUGUUUGACUCCAUGGGAGUGUUCGAAUAAAUUGUGGUUUAUCAAUUAAGUAAAAUAAAACGGAGAUGGAAAAAAUUAUCAUCAACACUGGAGAACAAGAAAGUAUGCACUCUUUGGUUAUGAUGUAAUAUUUAUGCAUAUGCAUAAACAAUGGAAAUGUAAAAAUGGAAAUUUUAGUGAGGGUAUUUUUGUCAAAAAAACUUUAUUUUUUAAGUAACAUUGUCUUUCACUAUUUUACAUUAUUUUUUUAAAGAGAUGAAUGGAGCAAUUGCUAUCCUUCUGAUUUCAAAGUUUAUGCGUCACAUUCAAAAUUUUUAGUUUCCUUCUAACUGGUGGGGGUAGAAGGAAGCAGGGGCUUCAUCCAGAAUAUGGCCACAAUCUUGAGUAGUAAAACAAUGAAGUCUAUUUGGUCAAGGUCAGAGAUGAGAAUUAUAGUGUUGGCAUUAUUUGGAGACCAACACAGGCAUUUUAUCACAAGCUUUGAAAUGCAAAUGUCAGACUGGGGCUGAAAGUAUAUAAGUGGCAGAUGUCAUUGAAUAUCGGAUGACUUAAUCAGUCUUGGACAUGUUGUUAAUCAAUAUUGAUACGAUGGUUGGAUAUUAUGUAUAGCCAAACACAAAAGGUAUUAAUGUCUUUGAAAAAUUAAUGCCUUCUAUUUUAGAGGCACCAAAAGUGAGGGAAAGUGUCUUCAAUAAUACAACAUGUCUUACAAAAAACCUGAACAACCUUUCAUAAAAUAGAAUGCCACUUAAUAUAAAUGAGGAAAGAAUUUCAUGUGGCAGACUUAGGAAGGAGACAUUCUGCAUAUUGGCUGCGACCUGAGGAUCAGCAUUUUGCAAUGAAGAGAAAGGCUGAACAGGCCAUGAGUGUGCACGGCUCCAACUGCCCUUUAUCAGAUGAGAGCAUUUCAGGACUCUGGGGACUAUUUCCUCUCUUGUUAAUCCACACAAACGCUGAGCUUUAAUUGGGAACUCAUUCUUAAAUCUGUUUGGACUUUUGAGCCCUCCAAUUUUGACAUUUGCCAAAUGGAAAGUUCUAGCAAUAGAAUAACUGUCAGCUAAUGAACCUUGACUCACCCAGGCGUGUAGCAUAGUUGUGUGACUACAGUCACAUGGUGGAAAUAAAAACUGGAGGCUGACUGGGUGGUAGCCACAGCCCCUGACUCAGGCUUACUCUGUUCAUUAUGAGGAAUGCCCCUGGAUUCAUUUUUGGGAGGAAUGCCCCUGGGUGCCAGGAUUCCUUUAAAUAUGAUAUGGUUACUUCAUGGGUUACUAAAAAAGGAAAAGUAGUAUUCAUUCUUACUCUUUAAUAUGUGACUGUGACAAAUUCAAAAAAUGGGAGUAAUAAAGAAGAUAUUAAUAAGCUCA
This is a long non-coding RNA of Manis javanica (Malayan pangolin), 5302 nucleotides long. RefSeq lists it as uncharacterized. Lineage: Eukaryota; Metazoa; Chordata; Mammalia; Pholidota; Manidae. The record is from RefSeq and is a predicted model, not a curated record.